Molecule: ribosomal RNA, 500 nt
Filed under: uncultured Glomeromycotina
Lineage: Eukaryota; Fungi; Glomeromycota
Description: partial small subunit ribosomal RNA
Rfam family: Eukaryotic small subunit ribosomal RNA
Source: RNAcentral
CCAAUAGCGUAUAUUAAAGUUGUUGCAGUUAAAAAGCUCGUAGUUGAAUUUCGGGGUUAGUAGGUUGGUCAUGCCUCUGGUAUGUACUGGUCUCACUGAUUCCUCCUUCCUGAUGAGCCGUAAUGCCAUUAAUUUGGUGUUGCGGGGAAUUUGGACUGUUACUUUGAGAAAAUUAGAGUGUUUAAAGCAAGCUAACGCUUGAAUACAUUAGCAUGGAAUAAUGAAAUAGGACGUUCGAUCCUAUUUUGUUGGUUUCUAGGAUUGACGUAAUGAUUAAUAGGGUUAGUUGGGGGCAUUAUUAUUCAAUUGUCAGAGGUUAAAUUCUUGGAUUUAUUGAAGACUAACUACUGCGAAAGCAUUUGCCAAGGAUGUUUUCAUUAAUCAAGAACGAAAGUUAGGGGAUCGAAGACGAUCAGAUACCGUCGUAGUCUUAACCAUAAACUAUGCCGACUAGGGAUCGGAUGAUGUUAAUUUUUUAAUGACUCAUUCGGCGCCUUACG